UACGUAGGGGGCUAGCGUUGUCCGGAAUCAUUGGGCGUAAAGCGCGCGUAGGCGGCCCUGUUAGUCCGCUGUAAAAGUCCAGGGCUCAACCCUGGAACGCCGGUGGAUACUGUCGGGCUAGAGUCCGGAAGAGGCGAGUGGAAUUCCUGGUGUAGCGGUGGAAUGCGCAGAUAUCAGGAGGAACACCGAUGGCGAAGGCAGCUCGCUGGGACGGUACUGACGCUGAGGCGCGAAAGCGUGGGGAGCGAACAGG
Molecule: ribosomal RNA, 253 nt
Filed under: uncultured bacterium
Lineage: Bacteria
Description: partial 16S ribosomal RNA
Rfam family: Bacterial small subunit ribosomal RNA
Source: RNAcentral